This 789-nucleotide long non-coding RNA is filed under the name Rattus norvegicus (Norway rat). RNAcentral describes it as "long non-coding RNA NONRATT032360". The record is from RNAcentral. Lineage: Eukaryota; Metazoa; Chordata; Mammalia; Rodentia; Muridae.
AACUAAAAAAGAGUUUUCAUUUCUGAAACUUGUGUUGACACAGCAGAUUAUGCCUUUGCUCAUGGUAUUCUACAGAGUGGAAGGGUCACCAUGAAGAACCAAGAUGGGCUUUUCUAAAACAGAAGAAAAUAGAACAGGACAGAGUCCCACACAGAGAUUUGGGUCUUUUCCUCCUCCUUAUCCCCUGGAUCCAAAUAUGAGCAUGGAGGCGUGUCCAGGCUGUGAUACACAUGUGUGUGAAAGAACACUGACAGAGAUCAAUUUGCUCCCUCCCUCAGAAGAGUCCUGGGGCCCAGCAGUCUCUUGGAAGCCAGAACCCUUACGCACUGGGCUGGUUCAACAACUUACAGACGGGGAUAAGGAAUAAAACAAUGGAAGCAGCCAAUCCUGAGUCAGAAGUUGUCUCCACUCUGAGGAGAGCCACAUUCUGGGCAUUUACCUGUCUCUGUGGAAAAGAUUUGGUGAGAAAGAAAUUGAGGGGGAUCUCAGAAGCUGGAAAUAUCUCCCCAUGCUCAUGGAUUUAGAAGAUUAACAUAGUGAAAAUGGCCAUCUUACUCAUUGAUAAGUGGAUAUUAGCCAAAAAGCUCAAAUUAAACAAGAUGCAAUCCACAGACCCCAGGAAGCUCAAGAAGAAGGAUGACCAAAAUGCAGAAGCUCCCACUCCUUCUUAAAAGGGGGAAAAGAUAUCCAUAGGAGGGAAUAUGGAAGUAAAGUUUAGAGCAGCGACUCAGGAAACAGCCAUUCAGAGCUUGCCCCACAUGUGGCCCAUAUAUAUAUAUAUAUAUAUAU